GACGAACGCUGGCGGCGUGCUUAACACAUGCAAGUCGAACGGAAAGGCCCUGCUUUUGUGGGGUGCUCGAGUGGCGAGCGGGUGAGUAACACGUGAGUAACCUGCCCUUGACUUUGGGAUAACUUCAGGAAACUGGGGCUAAUACCGGAUAGGAGCUCCUGCUGCAUGGUGGGGGUUGGAAAGUUUCGGCGGUUGGGGAUGGACUCGCGGCUUAUCAGCUUGUUGGUGGGGUAGUGGCUUACCAAGGCUUUGACGGGUAGCCGGCCUGAGAGGGUGACCGGCGACAUUGGGACUGAGAGACGGCCCAGACGCCUACGGGGGGCAGCAGUGGGGAAUAUGGCACAAUGGGCGGAAGCCUGAUGCAGCAACGCCGCGUGCGGGAUGACGGCCUGCGGGGUGUAAACCGCUUUCGCCUGUGACGAAGCGGGAGUGACGGUAAUGGGUAAAGAAGCACCGGCUAACUACGUG
This 468-nucleotide ribosomal RNA is filed under the name uncultured bacterium. Its description in RNAcentral is "partial 16S ribosomal RNA". It matches the Rfam family "Bacterial small subunit ribosomal RNA", at positions 28 to 507 of the family's 1533-position model. The record is from RNAcentral.